UACGUAGGGUGCGAGCGUUAAUCGGAAUUACUGGGCGUAAAGGGUGCGCAGGCGGCUCCGCAUGUCGGGCGUGAAAUCCCCGGGCUUAACCUGGGAAUUGCGUCCGAAACUAUGGAGCUGGAGUGUGGCAGAGGGAGGUGGAAUUCCACGUGUAGCGGUGAAAUGCGUAGAGAUGUGGAGGAACACCGAUGGCGAAGGCAGCCUCCUGGGCCAACACUGACGCUCAUGCACGAAAGCGUGGGGAGCAAAC
RNAcentral lists this ribosomal RNA (250 nucleotides) under uncultured bacterium. Its description in RNAcentral is "partial 16S ribosomal RNA". It matches the Rfam family "Bacterial small subunit ribosomal RNA", at positions 524 to 773 of the family's 1533-position model. The record is from RNAcentral.